GUCUCUGUAGCGCAAUGGAGAGCGCAUUGGAUUUCUAAUCUGAAGGUCGUGGGUUCAAAUCCCACCCGGGAUG
Trichonephila clavipes is the source of this 73-nucleotide non-coding RNA. Lineage: Eukaryota; Metazoa; Arthropoda; Arachnida; Araneae; Nephilidae. The record is from the annotation of a GenBank genome assembly.